CUACGUAGGUGACAAGCGUUAUCCGGAUUUACUGGGCGUAAAGGGCGUGUAGGCGGUCUUGCAAGUCAGAAGUGAAAUUCCUGAGCUCAACUCGGGCGCUGCUUCUGAAACUGCAGGACUUGAGUGCUGGAGGGGAUAGCGGAAUUCCUAGUGGAGCGGUAAAAUGCGCAGAUAUUAGGAAGAACACCGGUGGCGAAGGCGGCUAUCUGGACAGUAACUGACGCUGAGGCGCGAAAGCGUGGGGAGCAAACAGGAUUAGAUCCCCUGGUAGUCCACGCCGUAAACGAUGAAUACUAGGUGUAGGGGGUAUCGACUCCCUCUGUGCCGCAGUUAACACAAUAAGUAUUCCGCCUGGGGAGUACGGCCGCAAGGUUGAAACUUAAAGGAAUUGACGGGU
This 397-nucleotide ribosomal RNA is filed under the name uncultured bacterium. RNAcentral's name for it is "partial 16S ribosomal RNA". It matches the Rfam family "Bacterial small subunit ribosomal RNA", at positions 523 to 918 of the family's 1533-position model. The record is from RNAcentral.